UUUCAUCUCUUCCGCCCUCCCCUCUCUGUUGCAGGCUUGCAGCGACCAAGAAUUACUCAGACCAGGCUUCGAUAAGGUCCUCUGUUGCAGGCUUGCAGCGACCAACCGACCUUUCAUCUCGCCGUUGACAGAUUGCAGACCAGGCACAAUGAGUAAGGAUGUUAUGGCGCGAUUUCUCAACAAGAGGAAAACGAUUGAAAUUGGAUCAUCUUCCGAUUUUGUUGAUGUGAAUGAUCUUCCCUCGGAUCCUCAUGAUCGCAAGGCGAUAGCAUCAUACAACGUGAAUCAACGAGAUGAUGUUAGAAGGGCAUACCUACUAAGAGGACCAUGUCAACCAACGGAUUUGGUCACCUCAUGCGAUGCAUUAUGCACGAGAUGCGUCUUUCGGAAUCCUUCAUUUAUGCGUAUGGAAGGGCAUGAGAUGUGUCUAGAAGGGCAUGUGAUGCGUCUGGAAGUGCAUGGGACGCGUCUGGCCCACCGCGACAUUUGAAACGUCACGUGUCCAUUUUUUAUUGGGUGCUUAAGAAGUCUGCAUAUGGACGUUUCAAGUGCUUAAGUGGUCGCUCCAAGAACUCAUGAGAUAGCCUUUUUUGAAAGUUAUGGUGGCCGACGGCUAUUUUUAUAAUUUUUCCCAUAUACAAAUUAGUUAUUUACGUUCAGAGUUAAAUAUAAAAUAACCUUUUCAACUAAUAUUUUAAUCAUCAAAUAUUUUUUUUUUUGAACGGCAAAUCAUCAAAUAUUACUCCCAAGAAAAUUGGGGAAACUGAAAUUCUUGGGGGGCUCAAUUUGAGGGAAUGAACAUGAAAAUACUAAAAAGAUGAUAAUAAAAUAUUUUUGUUCCGAUUAAUGAAAAAUGAAAAGCAGGAAUGAUUUCAAGUAAUAUUGGAACAACCAAAAACUAUGGAGGUCUGGUCUCAUUUCCUAUCUAUGCUCCCAUACCUUUUUCUCUUUAUUCAAUCACCUUAACUCCCUAUCUCCAUGGUGUGACCAUCGUUCUUAAUCUUAUGAACACAUGCGACUCUUCUUGUUACAGCAUUCAGGUCAGCAUAUAAUCCAGCUCAAUGCUAUGUUUGUUGUUCUAGUACAUUGUGUCCUCUAGUAAUUGGGUUGCUUCCCUUGCAGUUGUCGGAUCAAGCAGAUAAAAUAACGAGCUAUGUUUAUUUGUGAUUACAAUAAUGUUUCUAAACAUUGUAUAAAAGUUUACUUCUUAUACAUUAAGGCGAUGACCCGAAUUCAAU
Long non-coding RNA from Helianthus annuus (common sunflower), 1238 nucleotides. RefSeq lists it as uncharacterized. The transcript has 3 exons. The record is from RefSeq and is a predicted model, not a curated record. Lineage: Eukaryota; Viridiplantae; Streptophyta; Magnoliopsida; Asterales; Asteraceae.